UACGUAGGGUGCAAGCGUUGUCCGGAAUUAUUGGGCGUAAAGAGCUCGUAGGCGGUCUGUCGCGUCUGCUGUGAAAAUCCAGGGCUCAACCCUGGACCUGCAGUGGAUACGGGCAGACUAGAGUGCGGUAGGGGAGAUCGGAAUUCCUGGUGUAGCGGUGAAAUGCGCAGAUAUCAGGAGGAACACCGGUGGCGAAGGCGGAUCUCUGGGCCGUAACUGACGCUGAGGAGCGAAAGCAUGGGGAGCGAACAGG
Molecule: ribosomal RNA, 253 nt
Filed under: uncultured bacterium
Lineage: Bacteria
Description: partial 16S ribosomal RNA
Rfam family: Bacterial small subunit ribosomal RNA
Source: RNAcentral